UCGAUUUUUGGGCUGUCUUAUACAAGGCCUCUAGUAUACAACUUUGCCCCCUCUCAGCCAGUCAUCUUUGCCCCCACUUAUUUCUUUUUCCUGGUUAAACUUUGCAAAGGCCAUAUAUUAUUGACAACCGAGCCCACCCAGGCACAUGGCCUUUCACAUACGAGAAGUCAUUGGCCUGUGCCAUAUAAUCGUAUUUGCACAGAGCACGGACGGACGGAGACCUGAGUCCUAGGCGCAAUUGCCGCCUGGCGGCCAAGCAAAACGCGACGCGCCCUCGCCAGUUCAUCUCCGGUCUUCGGCAAACGCCUUCGAUCUGCGUUGUGCACAACGGACGCCCAGCCGGUUUCCUGAUCUAUGGCCCUCUCAAUUUUAUCUGUGAUGCUCUUCUGCGUGUUACUGAUCAAUCGAGAUAAACCCUAGGGGGAGCUAAAGGAGGGUUUUCCUAUGUUUGUUGUAAAAUCUACAACUCGCAACAUGCUUCGGUUAAUUGAUCUGAACAAGCUUCCUUGGGAUCCAUCUAAAAGUUGCUGGCUAGAAAUUUUAUUCAAGAAGGUUGCGAACAACAAAUUGCCACUUGUCAAGUCAUUGUGUCUUAAAUGAACGGCACUUUCGCCUACUUCAUUGUCUUGUCGCUGAAAGAGCUCUCCAGGUGUCAAAGGCAUUGCCGUUUCAACGGACGCGGAGUCGGAAGAUCAACCCGGCGAAGUACAAGCCACGGCAGCAUUGUGGAAACUCUGCUCGUAGCUCGCCAGUACCCAACCACCUGGCAGGAGCAACAAACGACCAUCUGCUGAUUCAGUCGCGUGCACUGAUUUAGCCAUGGUCCGCUUCACCCGGCCAAGCCAACGAGUUGAUCCAUCGCAGGAAGUCCACCCAUCACUUUCGCUUUUUUCAUCACUGUAUUCUCGAGGACUACACAGGGCAGUCGGAGCACCUGUCAAAGAUCGCGCGAGGUUUCGCGGAAUUUCGCGUCCGGCUCUGUUGGCCGAUCAGGCAGCACAGUGGCGCACCGCUUUCGCGGGUCUGACGACGCAGCAGCGGAGGAAUCGGGCAUGUGCGUCACAACUCAGAACGGACGGACAUGACCGCUCAGGCUCCGUUUUGCAACUGUUCUUGGGUGAAUCCCGUCUGAACCGUUCCGCUCCAGACCUGUAAAUUCUCACCGAACAGUAGCCCGAUCUGCUGUUUCGGCUGCUGCUUUGAGUGCCAAAUACAUCACGGGUACCUCAACUUGUCCAGUGCGGUCACUUUAAUGCCUAAACUUGUAAAAUACACGAAACUGGUGCCGCAACUUGUUCGAGCGUUCAAAUACGGUGCCUCCUUCCGUAUUUGGGCAUAUGCACUGCCCACAGUGCCAACAUGGCAUCAGCCCACAUGUCAAUGGGUGUGAGAGGAGUGUGC
Molecule: long non-coding RNA, 1401 nt
Organism: Triticum aestivum (bread wheat)
Lineage: Eukaryota; Viridiplantae; Streptophyta; Magnoliopsida; Poales; Poaceae
Exons: 4
Source: RefSeq, a predicted model, not a curated record